CUGGCCAGUGCACCCCCACUCCCACCCUCAACCGCGGCCCCUGUAGGCCAAGGCGCCAGGCAGGACGACGGCAGCAGCAGCGCGUCUCCUUCAGUCCAGGGAGCUCCCAGGGAAGUGGUCGACCCCUCCGGUGGCUGGGCCACUCUGCUAGAGUCCAUCCGCCAAGCUGGGGGCAUCGGCAAGGCCAAGCUGCGCAGCAUGAAGGAGCGAAAGCUGGAGAAGAAGAAGCAGAAGGAGCAGGAGCAAGGUGAGCGGGCCCUGGAGCCUGCGGUCGGAGGGCCUUGGGCAAGAUCGCCUCCUCCCCUCCAGCCCUGAGUCCACUGGGUGCUUUCUGCCCACCCCCUGCUCUUGCCAGCUGGCCCCUGCUUCCCCUAGGGCACAUGCUGGAAGCCCUGGGCCGCCACCAGAAGUCCUCAGCCCUCCUGCCUGGGCUAUGGCUCCUUCCUGGUUUGGGAGCCAUAGUGAAGCUUUCCUCUCUAAGCUCACCCAGCCCAAACUGUGACAGGAGAAUCUUCUUCGACUGCCAAGAGCGGUCCAAGGCAAUGGUCAGCCACUGCAGCCCCCUGAGAUAUUUUUAGAGACUGGACCUGAGGCCUCUGGAGGCUACUGAUGAUGCCUGCUGUGAACGCAGACACUGGUGUGAUGCGAUGCCUGCGCCUGCAGCGGCAGUGCCCUGGGCACUAUGGUUUUGAGCUUGUACCCAGCGCUGCUUUUGCCUUGCUCUGUGACCCCAGGCAAGCUGCCUCACCUCUCUGGGCCAGUUUCCCCAUCGUACAGUGGUGCUGCACACCCUGGCCCUGGCCCCGAGGUGGCUGGGAGGUGGCUCCUCAAACAGCCGCUUUCUCAUCAGUGCCCGGUGCUGGGUCAGGGAUCGACUGAGGCUCUGAGCUAACUAGGAAACACAGUGGCCUUGGAGGGCUGGGGAGUGUCAUGGGGGUGGGGACAGGGAGCCACCGGUCGCAUGUGACUGAACUCUUCACCCCAGUCUGUGGCUUUCCCGUUGCAGUGAGAGCCACGAGCCAAGGUGGGCACUUGAUGUCGGAUCUCUUCAACAAGCUGGUCAUGAGGCGCAAGGGUAGGAGGCAGGGCCGCUGCCCGCCCUGGGUCGGCACCUUGUAAUUCUGUCCUGCCUUUUUCUUCCUGUAUUUAAGUCUCCGGGGGCUGGGGGAAUCAGGGUUUCCCACCAACCACCCUCACUCAGCCUUUUCCCUCCAGGCAUCUCUGGGAAAGGACCUGGGGCUGGUGAGGGGCCCGGAGGAGCCUUUGCCCGCGUGUCAGACUCCAUCCCUCCUGUGCCCCCACCGCAACAGCCACAGGCAGAGGAGGACGAGGACGACUGGGAAUCCUAGGGGGCUCCAUGACACCUUCCCCCCCAGACCCAGACUUGGGCUGUUGCUCUGACAUGGACACAGCCAGGACAAGCUGCUCAGACCUGCUUCCCUGGGAGGGGGUGACGGAACCAGCACUGUGUGGAGACCAGCUUCAAGGAGCGGAAGGCUGGCUUGAGGCCACACAGCUGGGGCGGGGACUUCUGUCUGCCUGUGCUCCAUGGGGGGACGGCUCCACCCAGCCUGCGCCACUGUGUUCUUAAGAGGCUUCCAGAGAAAACGGCACACCAAUCAAUAAAGAACUGAGCAGAAA
This 1641-nucleotide long non-coding RNA is filed under the name Homo sapiens (human). Its description in RNAcentral is "non-protein coding lnc-IL9R-1:7". Lineage: Eukaryota; Metazoa; Chordata; Mammalia; Primates; Hominidae. The record is from RNAcentral.